GUUUGACAGUAUAUUUGAAUUUUUAGUUAUUGUUUGAAAUAUUUAUAUAUAAUUAUGUAGGUUUAUGUGCUAUUUUGAUUAUAUAGAAAAUAUAUUAUGGAAAGAUUAUAUAUUAUAAUAUGUGAAAUAUAUUUGAAGAUUUUUAGAUAUACAGAUUUUAUAUUAUUUUUUUAUUUUGUUCUAUGUAUCUUUUGGAGUAAUUUGGUAAGAUGUGGUGCUAUAUUAGGAUUGUUUUAUUUUCAAUAAAUAUAUGAAGGUCUCAAAGGUGAUUUUCAAUGUAAAUCGAGUACUUGUAUGAAUUUUUUCAAGAGAUAUUGA
This 318-nucleotide long non-coding RNA is filed under the name Elaeis guineensis (African oil palm). RNAcentral's name for it is "long non-coding RNA (EGUI_LNC046985)". The record is from RNAcentral. Lineage: Eukaryota; Viridiplantae; Streptophyta; Magnoliopsida; Arecales; Arecaceae.